RNAcentral lists this ribosomal RNA (713 nucleotides) under Paratylenchus verus. Its description in RNAcentral is "partial large subunit ribosomal RNA". It matches the Rfam family "Eukaryotic large subunit ribosomal RNA", at positions 357 to 912 of the family's 3401-position model. The record is from RNAcentral. Lineage: Eukaryota; Metazoa; Nematoda; Chromadorea; Rhabditida; Tylenchulidae.
GGGAAAGUUGCAAAGCACUUUGAAGAGAGAGUUAAAGAGGACGUGAAACCGGUAGGAUGGAAACGGAUAGAGCCAGCGAAGUCGCCCGUAUUCAGCCAAAGGCCGUGGGUUCCGACCGGCCGUGUUGCUAAUCACACGCGGCAGGUUUCUGGACUUGCGGUUGAGGUGCAUUUGCGGGCGUUUGCGCUGAGACUUGCGGGGCAGCUCCCUGACCCUUGUCCAGAGGCUUCCCUCUGGGUUGAACCUUGACGGGGCGACGGUUGUUUGUUCUGCUCGUAGAGAAUGGGGGCUUGGCCAACGGACCCAGGCAGGCCGUCUGUCUGCCAUGGUUGUUAAUCGCGUGCGAUUGCAGCCUGGUGGGCCGGUGGGAUGUUUGUGGUUCCCUUGCCCACUCUCGGUGUAGAAGCUGGUCAUCUAUCCGACCCGUCUUGAAACACGGACCAAGGAGUUUAACGUAUACGCGAGCCAAUGGGUGUCAAACCUAAAGGCGCAAUGAAAGUGAAGGCCUAGUCGCUGGGCUUACAUGCGAGUGCCAGGGCUUCGUCGCCCAGACACGCAGCAUGGUCCCGUUCCGGUCGCUUGCGACGGAGCGGAGACAGAGCGUAUGCGCUGAGACCCGAAAGAUGGUGAACUAUUCCUGAGCAGGACGAAGCCAGAGGAAACUCUGGUGGAAGUCCGAAGCGAUUCUGACGUGCAAAUCGAUCGUCUGACUU